Bubalus bubalis (water buffalo) is the source of this 2098-nucleotide RNA transcript. It is a transcript of the gene named translation initiation factor IF-2, with no coding region annotated. The transcript has 3 exons. The record is from RefSeq and is a predicted model, not a curated record. NCBI's taxonomy places the organism in Eukaryota, Metazoa, Chordata, Mammalia, Artiodactyla, Bovidae.
GCGUUUCACAGGUCCAGCAGGGAAGGAGGCGGCCCAGGCCACAAGCACUCGGCACAGGGCUGGUGCCCACUUCCCCCACCCCCGCGGUGCAGUCCUUAGGGUGACUGGGGGGCGUUGCUCAUUUCGGACUCUCAUGCAGCCAGACCCCAGCCUGCCCCAAGCCCCUGACCCCUGGGAUGACACUGGAUCCCUCCCCCCCGGAGAGAGCCUCUUCCCCUCAAGGCAGAGAAUUUAGGAGAGGUGGAUGGGCAGGCCUUUCCCAGCUCUGAGCUCGCUGCCCCUACCCCUUGGGUGUGGUCGUGGGCCUCACACCCCUGACCCCGACCCCGGAUGCCAGCCCCGGCCGUCCUUGCCCACCCGGAGGAGCCGAGCGGGCAGGACCUCAGGCUCCCGGGGCCCCUACAUGGGGCCACCUGCUCCUUCUGGGCAGAGGCGGGGCCGGGGCGGGGCCUCAGGGCAGGCCCCGCCCACCACCCUGCCGCGCAGGCGUGCCACCUCGCCACACCCCGCCACGCCCACCGCCCUGCCGCGCAGGCGCGCCACCCCGCCCCGCCCCGCCGCGCCCCAAGCUCCAGACUAGGGAGCUCCCGGGAGAAAGGACCCGCCACAGAGACUGGGGACUGCGCCCCGGGGCAGGAGCGCAGCGGCUCUCGCAGUCUCCGGGCCCAGCACCGGGCUGAGCGCGGAGCCCCACCUGAGUCAGAGGGGCGACGGGGAGCGGAGGGACCGAAGGACGGGGCUUACACGGAGAGAAGGGUCUCAGUGGCCACCCUCUAGGAAACAGCUCACAGCACCUAAAACUGGGGACGCACUCUGCGUGAAGCCUGCCGGUGGACCCCAAGAAUAAGCACACUGGCUUAAGGGUGCCUGCAGUGCCCCACUGGCUGGGGAACCCCCGGUGCUGUUCUGAGUCACCAAGGCUCCGGAGCGAGAAGCAGAAGACAGAGGCCCCACUGGGUAAACCGCGUGGGCCCGAUGCCCAAGCAGAGUGUGGAGCCGGGGAGGAUGUGGCUGGACCACGGGCAGCCAGCACGCCUGCGCUCUGGCUCACGGGUGACCAGGUGGAAGGAUCUGGCCGCCUCACCCAGCAGCGCUGGCACCCCCACCUUCAGCCAUCCGAUCCCUAACCCCCGGGCUCAGGGAGGGGCGAGCCAUGCCCUCCGUGUGUUGUGUCUGCCCGUCCAGCACUUCCCGCCCCCCGCCCUCAUGCAGCUCUGUCUGCAGAUACACCCGAGGCGCCCAAGUGUAUCUAGAGUGAUCUAUUUUCAAAAGCCAGUAUAUUAAACAAUGAAUUACAUGGAAAUGUACAGUGUUUGCCAUGGAUUAAAAUACAUCUAUCGUUUUCUAAAGAGAAAACAGGUUUUCAAAUGAAGGAGGAAAGAGUUUUCAAGCAGUCUGAUGGUCAGACGUAGAGUUUAUUUCUCCUGGAGGAGCACAGACUCAGCAUAGAUGCAGCUGCACACGUGUGCAGGGGAUGGAAGGGGAGACAGGGUUGCAGAGCAGGCCACAUGCGAGGAGGAGGCCCGGCUUGGUCUCCGCAGGGAGCCCGCUCACACAGCCGGUCCUCCAGAGCCACCCCGCACACCGAGCCAGACCACCUCGGCCCGGGGUCCCCAGAGAUGUGGCUGCGGGUCCUGGAGGACCCAUCCCAGGCAGGACUCAGGCAAAAGAGGCCUUCCCGGCAGCGGAGCAGCCCACAGCGAGGGUCCGCGCAUCCUGGGGCUCAAGGAGCUGCCCCGCGGGCUUGGCCCUCUCCAGACAGAGCGGUGUGCCCCCUGAGCCCCUUCUCCAGGAGGCCGGGGGCCUCACUUCCCCAGCCAACAUUCAUAUGUCUCGGGACCAGCUCACGUGACACGUUCACACUUUCGUUUGGAGGAACCCCAGGCCCGUGGGCCCCCACGUGCUCUGACCAAUGUGCAGAGGGGGAGCAGGCCCCCGCGGCCAGACCUGCGGGCUCACCGUGGGCCUCGGGCUCUAAGCCACACAGGGCUUCUCCCACUUGCUCAAGACACAUACUCUUUUUUUUUUUUUCAGUCUUGAGAUUAAAAUGCUGAAAGUGCUAGUGAUUUAGAUUGUAAAAAUAACACACAUUUUUCAG